Molecule: ribosomal RNA, 507 nt
Filed under: uncultured bacterium
Lineage: Bacteria
Description: bacterial SSU rRNA
Rfam family: Bacterial small subunit ribosomal RNA
Source: RNAcentral
GAUGAACGCUAGCUACAGGCUUAACACAUGCAAGUCGAGGGGCAGCAUGAACUUAGCUUGCUAAGUUUGAUGGCGACCGGCGCACGGGUGAGUAACACGUAUCCAACCUGCCGAUGACUCGGGGAUAGCCUUUCGAAAGAAAGAUUAAUACCCGAUGGCAUAGUUCUUCCGCAUGGUAGAACUAUUAAAGAAUUUCGGUCAUCGAUGGGGAUGCGUUCCAUUAGGUUGUUGGCGGGGUAACGGCCCACCAAGCCUUCGAUGGAUAGGGGUUCUGAGAGGAAGGUCCCCCACAUUGGAACUGAGACACGGUCCAAACUCCUACGGGAGGCAGCAGUGAGGAAUAUUGGUCAAUGGACGAGAGUCUGAACCAGCCAAGUAGCGUGAAGGAUGACUGCCCUAUGGGUUGUAAACUUCUUUUAUACGGGAAUAAAGUGAGGCACGUGUGCCUUUUUGUAUGUACCGUAUGAAUAAGGAUCGGCUAAACUCCGUGCCAGCAGCCGCGGUAAU